This 163-nucleotide ribosomal RNA is filed under the name uncultured bacterium. RNAcentral describes it as "partial 16S rRNA". It matches the Rfam family "Bacterial small subunit ribosomal RNA", at positions 355 to 511 of the family's 1533-position model. The record is from RNAcentral.
UAGGGAAUCUUCCACAAUGGACGAAAGUCUGAUGGAGCAACGCCGCGUGUGUGAUGAAGGGUUUCGGCUCGUAAACACUGUUGUAAGAGAAGAAUGACAUUGAGAGUAACUGUUCAAUGUGUGACGGUAUCUUACCAGAAAGGAACGGCUAAAUACGUGCCAG